Molecule: ribosomal RNA, 398 nt
Filed under: uncultured bacterium
Lineage: Bacteria
Description: bacterial SSU rRNA
Rfam family: Bacterial small subunit ribosomal RNA
Source: RNAcentral
GGAAUAUUGGACAAUGGGCGCAAGCCUGAUCCAGCCAUGCCGCGUGAGUGAUGAAGGCCCUAGGGUUGUAAAGCUCUUUCACCGGUGAAGAUAAUGACGGUAACCGGAGAAGAAGCCCCGGCUAAAUUCGUGCCAGCAGCAGCGGUAAUACGAAGGGGGCUAGCGUUGUUCGGAAUUACUGGGCGUAAAGGGCGCGUAGGCGGAUGUUCAAGUCGGGGGUGAAAUCCCGGGGCUCAACCCCGGAACUGCCUCCGAUACUGGACGUCUGGAGGACGGAAGAGGCGAGUGGAAUGCCGAGUGUAGAGGUGAAAUUCGUAGAUAUUCGGCGGAACACCCGUGGCGAAGGCGGCUCGCUGGUCCGUUUCUGACGCUGAGGCGCGAAAGCGUGGGGAGCAAAC